GAUGAACGCUGGCGGCGUGCCUAAUACAUGCAAGUCGAGCGAACAGACGAGGAGCUUGCUCCUCUGACGUUAGCGGACGGACGGGUGAGUAACACGUGGAUAACCUACCUAUAAGACUGGGAUAACUUCGGGAAACCGGAGCUAAUACCGGAUAAUAUAUUGAACCGCAUGGUUCAAUAGUGAAAGACGGUUUUGCUGUCACUUAUAGAUGGAUCCGCGCCGCAUUAGCUAGUUGGUAAGGUAACGGCUUACCAAGGCGACGAUGCGUAGCCGACCUGAGAGGGUGAUCGGCCACACUGGAACUGAGACACGGUCCAGACUCCUACGGGAGGCAGCAGUAGGGAAUCUUCCGCAAUGGGCGAAAGCCUGACGGAGCAACGCCGCGUGAGUGAUGAAGGUCUUCGGAUCGUAAAACUCUGUUAUUAGGGAAGAACAAAUGUGUAAGUAACUAUGCACGUCUUGACGGUACCUAAUCAGAAAGCCACGGCUAACUACGUG
Molecule: ribosomal RNA, 498 nt
Filed under: uncultured bacterium
Lineage: Bacteria
Description: partial 16S ribosomal RNA
Rfam family: Bacterial small subunit ribosomal RNA
Source: RNAcentral